AUUGAACGCUGGCGGCAUGCCUUACACAUGCAAGUCGAACGGCAGCACGGGGGCAACCCUGGUGGCGAGUGGCGAACGGGUGAGUAACAUAUCGGAACAUACCCUAGAGUGGGGGAUAACGUAGCGAAAGUUACGCUAAUACCGCAUACGAUCUAAGGAUGAAAGUGGGGGAUCUUCGGACCUCAUGCUCAUGGAGUGGCCGAUAUCUGAUUAGCUAGUUGGUGAGGUAAAGGCUCACCAAGGCGACGAUCAGUAGCUGGUUUGAGAGAACGACCAGCCACACUGGAACUGAGACACGGUCCAGACUCCUACGGAGGCAGCAGUGGGGAAUUUUGGACAAUGGGGGCAACCCUGAUCCAGCAAUGCCGCGUGAGUGAAGAAGGCCUUCGGUU
Molecule: ribosomal RNA, 392 nt
Filed under: uncultured bacterium
Lineage: Bacteria
Description: bacterial SSU rRNA
Rfam family: Bacterial small subunit ribosomal RNA
Source: RNAcentral